UACAUAGAAGAGAAGGAGGAAUGAACAAGAUCUGCAUUCUUUUCUAGAACAGAAAAACUCAAUACUGGCACUUAAAAGGAAAUGCAAUAUAUGACUGCAUAAGAAUCUCAGCUUUUGAUAUUCCUGAAAUGGAGAAUUCCCAAACAUUAAAAAGCUGGAGGACUGGAAUUGUAUGACUUCAUAUCUUAAAUGUCUUAAUAACUGGUGAUAAAGUAAAUUUUGUUCUUCCUCAUGUUGACUUUGCUUGUCAGUGGUACUACUUACUAGGAUUAAUGCUGAUAAAAUGUUCUGGGAGAAGAGAUCUAAUACAACAUUAUGCCCUAUGUGUGUCUUAUGUGCUAUAAUAGUAUUGAGUCUCAUGCUCAUCUCAUUUUCACAAUGCUUGUUCAUUUGACUGUUUGGAAUAGACUUUUGAUCUUUUGAAUAGUGGCUGGAUUGCCUUCCCAGCAAUGAAAUUUAUGGUAUGUCACAAAGGAAA
Molecule: unclassified non-coding RNA, 478 nt
Filed under: Hevea brasiliensis (rubber tree)
Lineage: Eukaryota; Viridiplantae; Streptophyta; Magnoliopsida; Malpighiales; Euphorbiaceae
Source: RNAcentral